This is a long non-coding RNA of Homo sapiens (human), 1160 nucleotides long. Ensembl annotates it as long intergenic non-protein coding RNA 1119. Lineage: Eukaryota; Metazoa; Chordata; Mammalia; Primates; Hominidae. The record is from Ensembl.
GAGUGGGGUGAGGGGGAGAGGCCCAGCCAGGAUCUCUUAGGGCAACAUCAGUCCAGCAAGAGCUCCAGAGACCCACCCCAGGGGCAGAAGGCCUCUGGCUGGCCAAAUUUAGGCUGCUUUGUGGUUGUAAAUGCUGCCGCCUCCAGGGCCCGAGAUGGAAUUCAGCUGAUGAUUCCAAUGUACAGCCAAUGAUGAGCAGCUGCUGGGCUGAAGGGACUGGGGCCAUUUUAUACCAGGAUGUUACACAGAAAUGCCUGAAAAGCAAGGAGCAGCUAUCAGAAUGUUUGGUGACACAGCUCCUCCUGUCGUGGUUCCUUCGGCAUGGACUUCACAUUCAGCAGAUCCAUGAGGUGUUCCCUUUCGGAUGAGCUCCAAGGUCUUAAGAGAGCAUCUCUAGUCUGCGUGAGUCCGUCUGAACGACGGUCCUGAGCAAGAACCACCUAUAACCAUCUGCUCAAAAUAACUCAGGGGAAGUCAAAGCUUUCUAUGUGGAAGGUGACUGAAACCACAUACACAGACCACUGCAGCAUUCCUGACAUUAUGGAACUUGGAAAUGAUUCCAAACAUGGCCAUAGCUUGAGUAACAUGUUUUGCUAUGACAAGAACUUGGACUGUAGUCCUUCCCCCUCUCAAGAAUGUGACAUCACACCUUAUCAGAUCCUACGAGUGAGCUACUGACCUCAACCACUGAACUUCAAACUAUGUAAAAACCUAAGGGUUCGACAGACACUUUGAGAGCUUGGGCUGUGGCAAGCUACACUCUGUCAGCCUCUCUUCGACAGGGCCCCACCCUGCUAGCCUUUGAACUUGGAAGCAUCGCCCACAAACACCAGUGCCACCCUCUAGCCUUGAGGGACCAUAUAUGUCUCUGUGAAUCUCCGUUGCAUUGGACAGCUUCUCUCCCAAGAGCUGCUCUUAUAAAAGAGACACACCACAUUUUAAUGAGGCUUCGCUCUCCACAGAGGCCUGCUUCCAUCCUAAUUGAGCAAGUAGACUUUAGUAACUUUGGAACUCACUCACCCCGUGACUAAUACACCCUGUCUACCCAGCGCAUUCCCUGUGAGAUUUGUUCAUGUUGUUCUCCCCCUCCUUAAGCAUUGUGAACCUAGGAAAAAUAUCAUCUCUGUAGGGCAAUAAACCAUGUGAUUUGUGAAAUCAUA